AGCAGCCGCGGUAAUUCCAGCUCCAAUAGCGUAUAUUAAAGUUGUUGCAGUUAAAAAGCUCGUAGUUGAAUUUCGGGAUCAAAUUGUUGGUCGUGCCUCGGUACGCACUGGUAUUAUUGGUUCCUACCUUCUGAAGAAUCGCGAUGUCAUUAGUUUGGUGUCUUGGGGAAUCAGGACUGUUACUUUGAAAAAAUUGAGUGUUUAAAGCAGGCUCGCGCUUGAAUACAUUAGCAUGGAAUAAUGAAAUAGGACUUUGAUUCUAUUUUGUUGGUUUCUAGGAUCGACGUAAUGAUUAAUAGGGAUAGUUGGGGGCAUUAGUAUUCAAUUGUCAGAGGUGAAAUUCUUGGAUUUAUUGAAGACUAACUACUGCGAAAGCAUUUGCCAAGG
This 387-nucleotide ribosomal RNA is filed under the name uncultured Glomus. RNAcentral describes it as "SSU rRNA". It matches the Rfam family "Eukaryotic small subunit ribosomal RNA", at positions 569 to 963 of the family's 1831-position model. The record is from RNAcentral. Lineage: Eukaryota; Fungi; Glomeromycota; Glomeromycetes; Glomerales; Glomeraceae.